This 468-nucleotide ribosomal RNA is filed under the name uncultured bacterium. RNAcentral's name for it is "partial 16S ribosomal RNA". It matches the Rfam family "Bacterial small subunit ribosomal RNA", at positions 28 to 507 of the family's 1533-position model. The record is from RNAcentral.
GACGAACGCUGGCGGCGUGCUUAACACAUGCAAGUCGAACGGAAAGGCCCUGCUUUUGUGGGGUGCUCGAGUGGCGAACGGGUGAGUAACACGUGAGUAACCUGCCCUUGACUUUGGGAUAACUUCAGGAAACUGGGGCUAAUACCGGAUAGGAGCUCCUGCUGCAUGGUGGUGGUUGGAAAGUUUCGGCGGUUGGGGAUGGACUCGCGGCUUAUCAGCUUGUUGGUGGGGUAGUGGCUUACCAAGGCUUUGACGGGUAGCCGGCCUGGGAGGGUGACCGGCCACAUUGGGACUGAGAUACGGCCCAGACUCCUACGGGAGGCAGCAGUGGGGAAUAUUGCACAAUGGGCGGAAGCCUGAUGCAGCAACGCCGCGUGCGGGAUGACGGCCUUCGGGUUGUAAACCGCUUUCGCCUGUGACGAAGCGUGAGUGACGGUAAUGAGUAAAGAAGCACCGGCUAACUACGUG